CUUUUGAUUUGUUUUCAUGAACUGAGUAAAAUAUAAAAAAGGGAAGUACUUACCUUCGUAUAGGCGCCGCUGAAACCUCGUUUGCUCCGUCCAAGUCGGAGUCUGAUGAGAUUUUGGGUUUGAAGGCGGCGGAGUAGGGCGAAAGGACUUAGUUUUUUUUCUUUUUUUCUUUGAUGGUUUAAAAGAGGGGAUUAAAUAUUAGGGAUUUUAGGGUUUUGAUUUAGUCUAUACAGGGUAUAAGAAACGACACCGUUUAGGGCCUGUUUCAAUGACUCUAAAACGGUGUCGUAUUAGCACUGACCCGAUGACCCGACCCAAGCACGGCUAGAUCCGCGCGCUUCG
Molecule: long non-coding RNA, 342 nt
Filed under: Gossypium raimondii (Peruvian cotton)
Lineage: Eukaryota; Viridiplantae; Streptophyta; Magnoliopsida; Malvales; Malvaceae
Description: long non-coding RNA (GRAI_LNC002922)
Source: RNAcentral